AUUGAACGCUGGCGGCAUGCUUUACACAUGCAAGUCGAACGGCAGCGCGGGCUUCGGCCUGGCGGCGAGUGGCGAACGGGUGAGUAAUACAUCGGAACGUGCCCAGUAGUGUGGGAUAGCUCGGCGAAAGCCGGAUUAAUACCGCAUACGACCUGAGGGUGAAAGCGGGGGAUCUUCGGACCUCCCGCUAUUGCAGCGGCCGAUGGCAGAUUAGCUAGUUGGUGGGGUAAAGGCCUACCAAGGCGACGAUCUGUAGCUGGUCUGAGAGGACGACCAGCCACACUGGGACUGAGACACGGCCCAGACUCCUACGGGAGGCAGCAGUGGGGAAUUUUGGACAAAGGGCGAAAGCCUGAUCCAGCAAUGCCGCGUGUGUGAUGAAGGCCUUCGGGUUGUAAAGCACUUUUGGCGGGAACGAAAAGGACUGUGCCAAUACCACGGUUCGAUGACGGUACCCGCAGAAUAAGCACCGGCUAACUACGUG
Molecule: ribosomal RNA, 484 nt
Filed under: uncultured bacterium
Lineage: Bacteria
Description: partial 16S ribosomal RNA
Rfam family: Bacterial small subunit ribosomal RNA
Source: RNAcentral